Molecule: transfer RNA, 84 nt
Filed under: Patescibacteria group bacterium
Lineage: Bacteria
Description: tRNA-Leu
Rfam family: tRNA
About the family: Transfer RNA (tRNA) molecules are approximately 80 nucleotides in length.
Source: RNAcentral
GCCCAGGUGUUGAAACUGGUAGACAUUUCACCUUGAGGUGGUGAAGCCCGCAAGGGCGUGGAGGUUCGAGUCCUCUCCUGGGCA